This is a long non-coding RNA of Myotis davidii, 316 nucleotides long. RefSeq lists it as uncharacterized. The transcript has 3 exons. NCBI's taxonomy places the organism in Eukaryota, Metazoa, Chordata, Mammalia, Chiroptera, Vespertilionidae. The record is from RefSeq and is a predicted model, not a curated record.
CUACGAUGGGCGCAGCGCCCUGCUCGUGGCAGAAGCCGCUGGAAACGUGGAGGUGGUGACUCUCCUACAGAGCCUCCAGGGUGGGGCUGGGGCCCUGGCCCCGGGGCCGGAAGUGCUGCCUGGUGUCUGACCGAACCCGUCUGCUGCGGCAUCAGCCUCCCUCCUGUGACCUGCAAGGAGGGUCGGGGCACCCCUCCCUGUGGCUCUGACUGGUGCCCCCGCUGCCGGGACUCUGUCCAUCCUGUUCCCGAGACCGGCCUCGUGUCUGUGCUGGGCGGCGUGACAAUAAAGUCUCAGGGACACUCCCUCUCAGGUC